Myotis lucifugus (little brown bat) is the source of this 972-nucleotide RNA transcript. It is a transcript of the gene named cyclin-A2 pseudogene, with no coding region annotated. Lineage: Eukaryota; Metazoa; Chordata; Mammalia; Chiroptera; Vespertilionidae. The transcript has 2 exons. The record is from RefSeq and is a predicted model, not a curated record.
AUGGCGCCUGAACCCAGAAAACCACUGGUACCUCUUGAUUAUCCAACGGAUGAUAGUUUGGAGUCACCACACGCUAUGGACAUGUCAAUUGUGUUGGAAGAGGAAGAGCCAGUGAGUGUUACUGAAAUCCCAGACUGCCACGAGGACAUUCACACAUACCUCAGGGAGAUGGAGAUUACAUGUAAGCCUGAAGUGGGCUACAUGAAGAAGCAGCCGGCCAUCAACAACAGCAUGAGGGCUAUCCUUGUGGACUGGUUAGUGAAAGUAGAAGAGUAUAGACUACAGAAUGAGACCCUGCACUUGGCUGUGAACUACAUCGACAGGUUCCUUUCCUCCAUGUCUGUGCUGAGAGGAAAACUUCAGCUGGUGGGCACUGCUGCUAUGCUGUUAGCCUCAAAGUUUGAAGAAAUAUACCCCCCAAAGGUUGCAGAGUUUGUGUACAUUACAGAUUAUACCUACACCAAGAAACAAGUUCUGCGAAUGGAGCACCUCGUUCUGAGAGUCCUUUCUUUUGACUUAGCGGCACCAACUGUCAAUCAGUUCCUCACCCAGUACUUUCUGCACCAGCAGCCUUCCAACUGCAAAGUUGAAAGUUUAGCGAUGUUUCUGGGAGAGUUAAGUUUGAUAGAUGCUGACCCCUACCUUAAGUAUUUGCCAUCAGUUAUUGCCGGAGCGGCCUUUCAUCUAGCACUCUACACAGUCACAGGACAAAGCUGGCCUGAAUCCUUGGCACAGAAGACGGGCUACACCCUGGAGAGUCUGAAGCCCUGUCUCCUGGACCUGCACCAGACCUACCUCAGAGCGCCGCAGCACGCGCAGCAGUCCAUCAGAGAAAAGUACAAACAUUCCAAGUAUCAUGGUGUUUCUCUCCUCAUCCCAACAAAGACACUACCAUGUUCGACAAACCCCAGAGACUUUAAUACAAACAUCUUGGUAAAAACCCUCAUCCAACAAGCUAACUAUGACAACUGA